This 324-nucleotide ribosomal RNA is filed under the name uncultured eukaryote. RNAcentral's name for it is "partial 18S ribosomal RNA". It matches the Rfam family "Eukaryotic small subunit ribosomal RNA", at positions 1470 to 1796 of the family's 1831-position model. The record is from RNAcentral.
CCCUUAGAUGUUCUGGGCUGCACGCGCGCUACACUGAUGCGAUCAACAAGUUUUUCCUAUGUCGAUAGACACGGGUAAUCUUUUGAACUCGCAUCGUGAUGGGGAUAGAUUAUUGUAAUUAUUAAUCUUCAACGAGGAAUUCCUAGUAGGUGCAAAUCAUCAGUUUGCAUCGAUUACGUCCCUGCCCUUUGUACACACCGCCCGUCGCUGCGACCGAUUGGUUGAUCUGGUGAAUUAUUCGGACUGCCGGCUGAAGGGGUUUCCUCAUCUGCCAGCGGAAAGUCUUGUUAACCCUAUCAACUAGAGGAAGCAGAAGUCGUAACA